AUCCAUUAAAAUAACUUUCUAUUUUCUCAGCUGCCUUGAUAUCGGCUGUAUCAACAGUGUGACGCUACAACAAGCCAACUAGCACAAUGACAAAAGACUUUAGCAAACAAAUAAAACCACACUUUUCAUCGAGCAAACACCAGAGGAUGCUGUGAAGCUGCUGAAACUCUGCAAGUAAGAAGGGAAGGAGACCUCUGAGCUGGACUCUCUUCUGCCAUCAGCUGGAGGACAGGAUCCCUGAUGAGCCAGGAGACCUGAGCCACUGGAGACAGGACUGAGGGAAGGAGUGUGUCAUUAUUCGCAGGAAACAUCUGUGGCCAAGGGAGAAGGGCACUACCACCUUAGGGGCUGUGGAUUGGUUCUCCUGGCUGUAUGAAGGAGGGAAAGCGCAACUACAGAGCAAGAAGCUGCUGUGCUGAAAUUGCUUCAGGCUACUUCCUGGAGGCCACUGUAGCUGUUUAUACAGACUAAACGUCAUGUUUGCUGUUAUGAAAGUCCAUCCGGAAGCCAAAAUACACACCCUUUCAUCUUCCCUGG
Long non-coding RNA from Chroicocephalus ridibundus (black-headed gull), 537 nucleotides. RefSeq lists it as uncharacterized. The transcript has 4 exons. The record is from RefSeq and is a predicted model, not a curated record. Lineage: Eukaryota; Metazoa; Chordata; Aves; Charadriiformes; Laridae.